AAGAAACACUGGCAAGGUUCAAGACUGACCUGUAAAGAAGAGAAUAUCUAUUGCUGAUCACUU
Molecule: small nucleolar RNA, 63 nt
Filed under: Suricata suricatta (meerkat)
Lineage: Eukaryota; Metazoa; Chordata; Mammalia; Carnivora; Herpestidae
Description: Small nucleolar RNA SNORD2 (ENSSSUG00005006553.1)
Rfam family: Small nucleolar RNA SNORD2
Source: Rfam by way of RNAcentral